AUGAACGCUGGCGGCGUGCUUAACACAUGCCAGUCGAACGGAAAGGCCCAAGCUUGCUUGGGUACUCGAGUGGCGAACGGGUGAGUAACACGUGGGUGAUCUGCCCUGCACUUCGGGAUAAGCCUGGGAAACUGGGUCUAAUACCGGAUAGGACGAUGGUUUGGAUGCCAUUGUGGAAAGUUUUUUCGGUGUGGGAUGAGCUCGCGGCCUAUCAGCUUGUUGGUGGGGUAAUGGCCUACCAAGGCGUCGACGGGUAGCCGGCCUGAGAGGGUGUACGGCCACAUUGGGACUGAGAUACGGCCCAGACUCCUACGGGAGGCAGCAGUGGGGAAUAUUGCACAAUGGGCGCAAGCCUGAUGCAGCGACGCCGCGUGGGGGAUGACGGCCUUCGGGUUGUAAACUCCUUUCGCUAGGGACGAAGCGUUUUGUGACGGUACCUGGAGAAGAAGCACCGGCUAACUACGUG
This 466-nucleotide ribosomal RNA is filed under the name uncultured bacterium. Its description in RNAcentral is "partial 16S ribosomal RNA". It matches the Rfam family "Bacterial small subunit ribosomal RNA", at positions 29 to 507 of the family's 1533-position model. The record is from RNAcentral.